GAGAAGAACGCAGCGAAAUGCGAUACGUAAUGUGAAUUGCAAAUUCAGUGAAUCAUCGAGUCUUUGAACGCACAUUGCGCCCCCUGGUAUUCCGGGGGGCAUGCCUGUCCGAGCGUCAUUGCUGCCCUCAAGCACGGCUUGUGUGUUGGGCCCCGUCCUCCGAUCCCGGGGGACGGGCCCGAAAGGCAGCGGCGGCACCGCGUCCGGUCCUCGAGCGUAUGGGGCUUUGUCACCCGCUCUGUAGGCCCGGCCGGCGCUUGCCGAUCAACCCAAAUUUUUAUCCAGGUUGACCUCGGAUCAGGUAGGGAUACCCGCUGAACUUAAGCAUAUCAAUAAGCGGAGGA
This 344-nucleotide unclassified non-coding RNA is filed under the name soil metagenome. RNAcentral describes it as "partial contains 5.8S ribosomal RNA, internal transcribed spacer 2, and large subunit ribosomal RNA". The stretch from base 3 to 118 matches the Rfam family "5.8S ribosomal RNA", at positions 38 to 154 of the family's 154-position model. The record is from RNAcentral.